This 453-nucleotide unclassified non-coding RNA is filed under the name Hevea brasiliensis (rubber tree). Lineage: Eukaryota; Viridiplantae; Streptophyta; Magnoliopsida; Malpighiales; Euphorbiaceae. The record is from RNAcentral.
UGCUUUAGUCUUUUGGUCAUCAACACCAACAUUCAACUUCAUGCAAAGAUUUUUUAACUCCAAAAGAUCAUCAGUAACUCCAAUCUCAGAAGCCCCGGGAUCUGAUGGAAAAUACUUGUCUUUGAAAGUCUUUGCACAAGCACUGACAGCCAAGCGAAGAUUAGUAUUAACCAUUGGGACCUCAAUAGAACUCGGAGGCGAUCCAGCAAUUGUUGGAAUAAAAUUCUUGGAUUCUUCUGAUGUAUUUCCUUCAGAAUUUAAGUUACCACUGCGACGUUUGUAACGUCUAGAACGAGAUGAUGUUCCAGAUACAUAAUCAUUGUCCUUCUCAGCAGAAGAUACUUGGGUAGGAGUGGUAUUAGGAUUUCCAGAUAAGAUAAGUUGAUCUACAGCAUGUACCACACCCUCUCUAACAAACAUCUUCGAGAAAGUUCCAGGAAGCUUUUCCAUAAG